This 213-nucleotide unclassified non-coding RNA is filed under the name Scleria parvula. The record is from RNAcentral. Lineage: Eukaryota; Viridiplantae; Streptophyta; Magnoliopsida; Poales; Cyperaceae.
UCGGUGACCCGUGAAAACACGACCGGAGCACGCGUGAUGGAACACUGCUGGAGCGGGGGAGCCGCACUAGCCAACCGGCCACUGUCCUCGCGCCGCCCGGCGCGCUGGCUGGGGGCCGAUCACGGCGUGGGAUGACGCCAAGUAACAUGCGAUGCGGAGGCGGCGGAGGCGGCUCUUUGGAGCGUGCCGCUUGCUGCCGACGUGAUGAAAAUC